GGGGAUAUAGUUAAAAAUAACAUCUAAUUUGCAAUUAGAAGGUACUGUAUAGUUAUUCUCG
Molecule: transfer RNA, 61 nt
Filed under: Nysius sp.
Lineage: Eukaryota; Metazoa; Arthropoda; Insecta; Hemiptera; Lygaeidae
Description: tRNA-Ala
Rfam family: tRNA
About the family: Transfer RNA (tRNA) molecules are approximately 80 nucleotides in length.
Source: RNAcentral